RNAcentral lists this ribosomal RNA (253 nucleotides) under uncultured bacterium. RNAcentral describes it as "partial 16S ribosomal RNA". It matches the Rfam family "Bacterial small subunit ribosomal RNA", at positions 524 to 776 of the family's 1533-position model. The record is from RNAcentral.
UACGAAGGGGGCUAGCGUUGUUCGGAAUUACUGGGCGUAAAGGGCGCGUAGGCGGUCUGUUAAGUUCGGUGUGAAAGCCCCCGGCUUACCCGGGGAACUGCGCCGGAAACCGACAGACUCGAGUACCGGAGAGGAGGGUGGAAUUCCUGGUGUAGCGGUGAAAUGCGUAGAUAUCUGGAGGAACACCGGUGGCGAAGGCGGCGUCCUGGACCAACACUGACACUGAUGAGCGAAAGCCAGGGGAGCAAACGGG